This 586-nucleotide ribosomal RNA is filed under the name uncultured bacterium. RNAcentral's name for it is "partial 16S ribosomal RNA". It matches the Rfam family "Bacterial small subunit ribosomal RNA", at positions 354 to 937 of the family's 1533-position model. The record is from RNAcentral.
UGGGGGAAUUUUGGACAAUGGGCGAAAGCCUGAUCCAGCAAUGCCGCGUGUGUGAAGAAGGCCUUCGGGUUGUAAAGCACUUUUGUCCGGAAAGAAAUCCUUGGCUCUAAUACAGUCGGGGGAUGACGGUACCGGAAGAAUAAGCACCGGCUAACUACGUGCCAGCAGCCGCGGUAAUACGUAGGGUGCAAGCGUUAAUCGGAAUUACUGGGCGUAAAGCGUGCGCAGGCGGUUUGCUAAGACCGAUGUGAAAUCCCCGGGCUCAACCUGGGAACUGCAUUGGUGACUGGCAGGCUAGAGUAUGGCAGAGGGGGGUAGAAUUCCACGUGUAGCAGUGAAAUGCGUAGAGAUGUGGAGGAAUACCGAUGGCGAAGGCAGCCCCCUGGGCCAAUACUGACGCUCAUGCACGAAAGCGUGGGGAGCAAACAGGAUUAGAUACCCUGGUAGUCCACGCCCUAAACGAUGUCAACUAGUUGUUGGGGGAUUCAUUUCCUUAGUAACGUAGCUAACGCGUGAAGUUGACCGCCUGGGGAGUACGGUCGCAAGAUUAAAACUCAAAUGAAUUGACGGGGUCAUAGCUGUUUCC